CACAAGCGGUGGAGCAUGUGGUUAAUUCGAUGCAACGCGAAGAACCUUACCAGGCCUUGACAUCCUCGGAACUUUCCAGAAAUGGAUUGGUGCCUUCGGGAACCGAGAGACAGGUGCUGCAUGGCUGUCGUCAGCUCGUGUCGUGAGAUGUUGGGUUAAGUCCCGCAACGAGCGCAACCCCCGCCUUCAGUUGCCAACGGUUCGGCCGUGCACUCUGGAGGAACUGCCUGUGACAAGCAGGAGGAAGGUGGGGAUGACGUCAAGUCCUCAUGGCCCUUAUGGGCUGGGCUACACACGUGCUACAAUGGCGGUGACAGAGGGAUGCAAUACCGCGAGGUGGAGCAAAUCCCUAAAAGCCGUCUCAGUUCGGAUUGCUCUCUGCAACUCGAGAGCAUGAAGUUGGAAUCGCUAGUAAUCGCAGAUCAGCUCGCUGCGGUGAAUACGUUCCCGGGCCUU
Molecule: ribosomal RNA, 456 nt
Filed under: uncultured Alphaproteobacteria bacterium
Lineage: Bacteria; Pseudomonadati; Pseudomonadota; Alphaproteobacteria
Description: bacterial SSU rRNA
Rfam family: Bacterial small subunit ribosomal RNA
Source: RNAcentral